GACGAACGCUGGCGGCGUGCUCAACACAUGCAAGUCGAACGGAAAGGCCCUGCUUUUGUGGGGUGCUCGAGUGGCGAACGGGUGAGUAACACGUGAGUAACCUGCCCUUGACUUUGGGAUAACUUCAGGAAACUGGGGCUAAUACCGGAUAGGAGCUCCUGCUGCAUGGUGGGGGUUGGAAAGUUUCGGCGGUUGGGGAUGGACUCGCGGCUUAUCCGCUUGUUGGUGGGGUAGUGGCUUACCAAGGCUUUGACGGGUAGCCGGCCUGAGAGUGUGACCGGCCACAUUGGGACUGAGAUACGGCCCAGACUCCUACGGGAGGCAGCAGUGGGGAAUAUUGCACAAUGGGCGGAAGCCUGAUGCAGCAACGCCGCGUGCGGGAUGACGGCCUUCGGGUUGUAAACCGCUUUCGCCUGUGACGAAGCGUGAGUGACGGUAAUGGGUAAAGAAGCACCGGCUAACUACGUG
This 468-nucleotide ribosomal RNA is filed under the name uncultured bacterium. RNAcentral's name for it is "partial 16S ribosomal RNA". It matches the Rfam family "Bacterial small subunit ribosomal RNA", at positions 28 to 507 of the family's 1533-position model. The record is from RNAcentral.